CGAACGUCCCGCGGGAGCCGGGUGGACCCGGCUGAGAGGGAGGCUGAUCCGGCCUCCGACCGCACGAACCUGAUCCGGGUCAUACCGGCGAAGGGAGUGGAACCCAGCGCCAUGC
Regulatory RNA element from Nocardiopsis sp. CNR-923, 115 nucleotides. It matches the Rfam family "TPP riboswitch aptamer (THI element)". From Rfam's summary of the family: Vitamin B(1) in its active form thiamin pyrophosphate (TPP) is an essential coenzyme that is synthesised by coupling of pyrimidine and thiazole moieties in bacteria. The previously detected thiamin-regulatory element, thi box was extended, resulting in a new, highly conserved RNA secondary structure, the THI element, which is widely distributed in eubacteria and also occurs in some archaea. Lineage: Bacteria; Bacillati; Actinomycetota; Actinomycetes; Streptosporangiales; Nocardiopsidaceae. The record is from Rfam.